UACGGGGGGAGCAAGCGUUGUUCGGAUUUACUGGGCGUAAAGGGCGCGUAGGCGGCCACUGCAAGUCGGUUGUGAAAUCUCCGGGCUUAACCCGGAAAGGUCAAUCGAUACUGCAGGGCUAGAGUGCAGAAGGGGCAACUGGAAUUCUCGGUGUAGCGGUGAAAUGCGUAGAUAUGCGGAGGAACACCGAUGGCGAAGGCAAUCCCCUGGGCCUGCACUGACGCUCAUGCACGAAAGCGUGGGGAGCAAACAGG
RNAcentral lists this ribosomal RNA (254 nucleotides) under uncultured bacterium. RNAcentral's name for it is "partial 16S ribosomal RNA". It matches the Rfam family "Bacterial small subunit ribosomal RNA", at positions 524 to 776 of the family's 1533-position model. The record is from RNAcentral.